This 460-nucleotide ribosomal RNA is filed under the name uncultured bacterium. Its description in RNAcentral is "partial 16S ribosomal RNA". It matches the Rfam family "Bacterial small subunit ribosomal RNA", at positions 338 to 795 of the family's 1533-position model. The record is from RNAcentral.
CCUACGGGACGCAGCAGUGAGGAAUAUUGGUCAAUGGGAGCGAGACUGAACCAGCCAAGUAGCGUGAAGGAUGACUGCCCUACGGGUUGUAAACUUCUUUUAUAAAGGAAUAAAGUGAGGCACGUGUGCCUUUUUGUAUGUACUUUAUGCAUAAGGAUCGGCUAACUCCGUGCCAGCAGCCGCGGUAAUACGGAGGAUCCGAGCGUUAUCCGGAUGUAUUGGGUUUAAAGGGAGCGUAGAUGGGUUGUUAAGUCAGUUGUGAAAGUUUGCGGCUCAACCGUAAAAUUGCAAUUGAUACUGGCAGUCUUGAGUACAGUUGAGGUAGGCGGAAUUCGUGGUGUAGAGGUGAAAUGCUUAGAUAUCACGAAGAACUCCGAUUGCGAAGGCAGCUCACUGGACUGCAACUGACACUGAGGCUCGAAAGUGUGGGUAUCAAACAGGAUUAGAUACCCUUGUAGUC